Long non-coding RNA from Budorcas taxicolor (takin), 1148 nucleotides. RefSeq lists it as uncharacterized. The transcript has 5 exons. The record is from RefSeq and is a predicted model, not a curated record. Lineage: Eukaryota; Metazoa; Chordata; Mammalia; Artiodactyla; Bovidae.
GGCAGGGCGCACGCGCAGUGAGUCUCGAGCGCGCGGCGGGCAACAGGAUCCGAAGUUCUUUACAGCUGCCCGGCCGGAGUGGGUUUUCAUGCCCCUGCUUUCCGAUUGUUUUCCGGCUCUGCCCCCCGAGGCUGGAGCGUGGACAGUGGAGGGCUCCGCAACAAAGGCCUUUUUCUAGAUUAAAAGGACACCUUGCCCAGACUCUGCCUGUAGAAUUCAUCACUUCCAGCCGGGUGACUUGGAGUUAAUUAAAACCUGGAAAGAAGACAAACUCCAACCAAGCUGGAAAGGCCCUUAUCAAAUGCUCCUGACCACUGAGACAGCUGUGUGCACUGCUGAAAUGUUGUACUCGUUAUACACGAGUCAAGGGGCCAAUAAAAGAGACCUCAAAAGGAAGGGAAAGGACCAAUGAGCAGCCUUUAAAGCUCCCUGCCCAGUGCACUCGAGGACACGGAUGCACAGCGCUGCUUGUCAAGAAACAGGGUUUGCAAGGCCACGUGAUGGGUCAGCCAAGUGGCAAAUAGCCAGGCAAUCGGAGAGUACUCUGCCAUGAGAAGGAAAGCCCUGACGCUCCACAUGGACGGACCCUGAGAAACGAUGCUCGGGAAGAGUAGCAGACACAGAAGGACACACAGGCUGUGACUCCACGGCUGGGAAAUGUCCUGAACAGGCAGAUCCACGGAGACAGAGAGGGGAGAAAUCUAAAGGGAUAAUGUGGUGCCCAACCACACAGUCUGGACUAUACAGCCAGAUGCGCCAUCUCAGAACCCACCUACCCUCGGUGACGUCUAACUGCUGUGACAGCGAGAAAAGCGGCAGAAAGGGACGAGACAGGAGGGGACCCACAAUGUGAAUACCACCCGUGACAGUAAUGGAACUCAGGGGGCAUCACCCCGGAGUCCAAGCAUCCACAACCCGAUCAGAUCAGUCAGCGCGUGCCAGCCGCAGCCAUCAAAUCAUCUCCUGUGUGAACACCUCUCCCCUUGCUCCCGGCUGCGGAGGCUCCUCACCAUCUUGGCUUUGGCGCUGCUCGGUUCAAAGCAAUGUUUGCUCAGAGAAUCUUUUGAAAAGUUAACAAGCCUCAGUUUAUCUUUUAACAGGUUGAAACUGUUGUUACUUGCGAGUCAGUAAAGACAACUGACAACAAA